RNAcentral lists this ribosomal RNA (887 nucleotides) under uncultured bacterium. Its description in RNAcentral is "bacterial SSU rRNA". It matches the Rfam family "Bacterial small subunit ribosomal RNA", at positions 26 to 923 of the family's 1533-position model. The record is from RNAcentral.
GGGGCAACGCUGGGCCGGCGUGCUUACACAUGCAAGUCGAACGAUGAAGCCCAGCUUGCUGGGUGGAUUAGUGGCGAACGGGUGAGUAACACGUGGGUGAUCUGCCCUGCACUUCGGGAUAAGCCUGGGAAACUGGGUCUAAUACCGGAUAGGACCUCGGGAUGCAUGUUCCGGGGUGGAAAGGUUUUCCGGUGCAGGAUGGGCCCGCGGCCUAUCAGCUUGUUGGUGGGGUAACGGCCCACCAAGGCGACGACGGGUAGCCGGCCUGAGAGGGCGACCGGCCACACUGGGACUGAGACACGGCCCAGACUCCUACGGGAGGCAGCAGUGGGGAAUAUUGCACAAUGGGCGCAAGCCUGAUGCAGCGACGCCGCGUGAGGGAUGACGGCCUUCGGGUUGUAAACCUCUUUCAGUACCGACGAAGCGCAAGUGACGGUAGGUACAGAAGAAGCACCGGCCAACUACGUGCCAGCAGCCGCGGUAAUACGUAGGGUGCGAGCGUUGUCCGGAAUUACUGGGCGUAAAGAGCUCGUAGGCGGUUUGUCGCGUCGUCUGUGAAAACCCGCAGCUCAACUGCGGGCUUGCAGGCGAUACGGGCAGACUUGAGUACUGCAGGGGAGACUGGAAUUCCUGGUGUAGCGGUGAAAUGCGCAGAUAUCAGGAGGAACACCGGUGGCGAAGGCGGGUCUCUGGGCAGUAACUGACGCUGAGGAGCGAAAGCGUGGGUAGCGAACAGGAUUAGAUACCCUGGUAGUCCACGCCGUAAACGGUGGGCGCUAGGUGUGGGUUUCCUUCCACGGGAUCCGUGCCGUAGCUAACGCAUUAAGCGCCCCGCCUGGGGAGUACGGGCCGCAAGGCUAAAACUCAAAGGAAUUGACGGAAGGGCG